Molecule: ribosomal RNA, 800 nt
Filed under: uncultured bacterium
Lineage: Bacteria
Description: bacterial SSU rRNA
Rfam family: Bacterial small subunit ribosomal RNA
Source: RNAcentral
AUAGCCACUGGAAACGGUGAUUAAUACCUCAUAAAGCCAUUUAUCCGCAUGGAUGAAUGGACAAAGAUUUAUCGGUACAGGAUGGGCCCGCGUCUGAUUAGCUAGUUGGUAAGGUAACGGCUUACCAAGGCGACGAUCAGUAGCCGACCUGAGAGGGUGAUCGGCCACACUGGAACUGAGACACGGUCCAGACUCCUACGGGAGGCAGCAGUGGGGAAUAUUGCACAAUGGGGGAAACCCUGAUGCAGCAACGCCGCGUGAGCGAUGAAGGCUUUCGAGUCGUAAAGCUCCGUCCUAAGGGAAGAAUUGAUGACGGUACCUUAGGAGGAAGCCCCGGCUAACUACGUGCCAGCAGCCGCGGUAAUACGUAGGGGGCAAGCGUUAUCCGGAAUCAUUGGGCGUAAAGGGUGCGUAGGCGGCCUGACAAGUCAGAGGUGAAAGGCUACGGCUUAACCGUAGUAAGCCUUUGAAACUGCCAGGCUUGAGUGCAGGAGAGGAAAGUGGAAUUCCUAGUGUAGCGGUGAAAUGCGUAGAUAUUAGGAGGAACACCAGUGGCGAAGGCGACUUUCUGGACUGUAACUGACGCUGAGGCACGAAAGCGUGGGGAGCGAACAGGAUUAGAUACCCUGGUAGUCCACGCCGUAGACGAUGAAUACUAGGUGUCGGGGGAGACUUCGGUGCCGCAGCUAACGCAUUAAGUAUUCCGCCUGGGGAGUACGCACGCAAGUGUGAAACUCAAAAGAAUUGACGGGGACCCGCACAAACAGCGGAGCAUGUGGUUUAAUUCGAAGCAACGCGAA